Molecule: RNA transcript, 8507 nt
Organism: Physeter macrocephalus (sperm whale)
Lineage: Eukaryota; Metazoa; Chordata; Mammalia; Artiodactyla; Physeteridae
Gene: FZD4
Gene name: frizzled class receptor 4
Exons: 4
Source: RefSeq, a predicted model, not a curated record
GCAGCGCGGGCAGCCGGCUCCCCCGUGCAAGCUGGGGGUGUCUGCUGGAGCAGCCCUCGCCACCGCCGCCGCUGCCCCCUGGCUCUGGCCAUGGCCUGGCGGGGCGCAGGGCCGCGCGUCCUGGGGGCCCCCGGGGGCGUCGGUCUCAGCCUGCGGCUGCCGCUGCUUUUGCUGCUGCUCCUGAGGCCGGCGAGGGGCUUCGGGGACGAGGAGGAGCGGCGCUGCGACCCCAUCCGCAUCUCUAUGUGCCAGAACCUGGGCUACAACGUGACCAAGAUGCCCAACCUGGUGGGGCACGAGCUGCAGACGGACGCCGAGCUGCAGCUGACAACUUUCACGCCGCUCAUCCAGUACGGCUGCUCCAGCCAGCUGCAGUUCUUCCUUUGUUCCGUGUAUGUGCCCAUGUGCACAGAGAAGGUCAAUAUCCCCAUCGGCCCCUGCGGCGGGAUGUGUCUUUCCGUCAAGAGACGUUGCGAGCCUGUCCUGAAGGAAUUUGGAUUUGCCUGGCCAGAGAGCCUGAACUGCAGCAAAUUCCCACCACAGAAUGACCACAACCACAUGUGCAUGGAAGGGCCAGGUGAUGAGGAGGUGCCCUUACCUCACAAAACCCCCAUCCAGCCUGGGGAAGAGUGCCAUUCCGUGGGAACCAACUCUGAUCAGUACAUCUGGGUGAAGAGGAGCCUGAACUGCGUUCUCAAGUGUGGCUAUGAUGCUGGCUUAUACAGCCGCUCGGCCAAGGAGUUCACCGAUAUCUGGAUGGCCGUGUGGGCCAGCCUGUGCUUCAUCUCCACCGCCUUCACUGUGCUGACCUUCCUGAUCGAUUCUGCCAGGUUUUCCUACCCGGAGCGCCCCAUCAUAUUUCUCAGUAUGUGCUAUAAUAUUUAUAGCAUUGCUUAUAUUGUCAGGCUGACUGUAGGCCGGGAAAGGAUAUCCUGCGAUUUUGAAGAGGCAGCAGAACCCGUUCUCAUCCAAGAAGGACUUAAGAACACAGGAUGUGCAAUCAUUUUCUUGCUGAUGUACUUUUUUGGAAUGGCCAGUUCCAUCUGGUGGGUUGUUCUGACACUCACUUGGUUUUUGGCAGCGGGACUCAAAUGGGGUCAUGAAGCCAUUGAAAUGCACAGCUCUUAUUUCCACAUUGCAGCCUGGGCUAUCCCUGCAGUGAAAACCAUUGUCAUCUUGAUUAUGAGACUGGUGGAUGCAGAUGAACUGACUGGCCUGUGCUACGUGGGGAACCAAAACCUUGACGCCCUCACGGGAUUUGUGGUGGCUCCCCUCUUCACUUACCUGGUGAUUGGAACUUUGUUCAUUGCUGCAGGCUUGGUGGCCUUGUUCAAAAUUCGGUCGAAUCUUCAAAAGGAUGGGACAAAGACAGACAAGUUGGAAAGGCUGAUGGUCAAGAUUGGGGUCUUCUCAGUCCUGUACACGGUGCCUGCAACCUGUGUGAUUGCCUGUUAUUUCUAUGAAAUCUCCAACUGGGCGCUUUUCCGGUAUUCCGCAGAUGACUCCAAUAUGGCAGUUGAGAUGUUGAAAAUUUUUAUGUCUUUGCUGGUAGGCAUCACUUCAGGCAUGUGGAUUUGGUCUGCCAAAACUCUUCACACGUGGCAGAAGUGUUCCAACAGAUUGGUGAAUUCUGGGAAGGUAAAGAGAGAAAAAAGAGGGAAUGGUUGGGUGAAGCCUGGGAGAGGCAAUGAAACUGUGGUAUAAGGCUAGCCAGCCUCCAUGCUUUCCAGAUUUUGAAGGGGGCAUGCCAGCAUUGCGGUGCAAAUGCUACCAAAAGCUUCAUGCAGUGAAUCUCAGUUUGAACAAGCUAGCAGCACUUAAGUGACCCCCAUAACCCUCCACCACUCUCCCCCGUCUCCCCCCAGCAUCAUAAAACUAAUGAUUUUGCUGCGGACUUUGGAAUGAUCCAAAAUGGAAAAGCCAGUUAGAGGCUUUCAAAGCUGUGAAAAAUCAAAACAUUGAUCACUUUAGCAGGUCGCAGCUUGGAGCGUGGAGGUCCUGCCUAGAUUCCAGGAGGUCCAGGGCGAUGCUGCUUUUCCCUGCAGGGUGGGAUUUGAGCUGUGAGUAGGCAACUUGCAGGGAGAAAGAUUAACUUUUUUAACCCUUUAAAAAUUCUAAAUACUAACUGGGUCUUUCAGAUAGCAAAGCGAUCUAUAAACACUGGAAACGCUGGGUUCAGAGAAGUGUUACAAGAGUUUUAUAGUUUGGCUGGUCUAACAUAAACAUUUUCUGUGGUGUACUGUCUGCUGUUUAGAACUUUGUGGAUUGCUCUCCCAAGAGGUGGUGUCAGAAUCUUUCAGUGCCUUUGUCAUAAAACAGAAUUGUUUGAACAAACAAAAGUACUGUACAAACGCACAUAAGGUAUCCAGUGGAUUUUUCUUCUCUCUCUUCCUCUUAAAUUUCAACAGCUCUGUCCUAGGCUGCUGCUGUUUUCUCCAUUUUACGUUAAUGACUCAAAAGCAGGUAUUUUUUAUAGGAAGUUUUGCACUGCAGCAUGCCUAAUGAGGGGGAAAGGAAGGGUGAUUCACUUUCUUGACAAUCACUUAAUUCAGAGGAAAAUGAUAUUUACCAAGUCGACUUACCUUACCCACCCCAGAGACCGACUGCAUUGAGCAAUGGGGACUUAAUAUAUUUUACUUUGUGUGAUUGCAUCUAUGCAGACGCCAGUCUGGAAGAGCUAAAAUGUUAAGUUUCUUGGCAACUUUGCAUUCACACAGAUUAGCUAUGUAAUUUGUGUGUGUCAAUUACAAUUAAAAGCACAUUCUUGGACCAUGACAUAACAGUUACUCAGCUGACUUUAAAGCUAUGGUCAGCUUGCAUUCUCAGAAUGAUAGUGCCUUUUUUUUCCUUUAGCAUAAGAAUGUUAUCAGAGUCUGGUCUACUUACCACAAUGGAGACUUUUUCAAUUUUGUAAAGGGAGCUAAGGACAGCUAAUCCAACUACUUGGUGCAUAAUUAUUUCCUAGUAAUUGGCAAGGGCUCCCUGUAAGAUUUCCUUGGAGGCAGUGUGGCCUGGAGUAUUUAUAUGGUGCUUAAUGAAUCUCCAGAAUGCCAGCCAGGAGCUUGAUUGGUUCGUAGGGAAUAAAGUGUAGACCAUAUGAAGUGAACUGCAAACUCUAACAGCACAGGUCUUAAUUGCCUUUUGCAGAGGUAUCCAGAGCUUUUAAAAUUUAUGCUUUAUGUUCCUUGCAAGGGGGUACCCCCUAGCAGACUCUCAAAAACUGCAAUUCUUUUAAAAUUGUAACUGGCCUUUCUCCUAACCCGCCUCAGGCCUUCUAAUCACCAGAUCUCUGGGACAAAUUAUUGACGAUGUCACAGGUUGCUGUCCUUGAAGUUCAUACCUGUCUUUGCUUCAGCAACUACCUUGCGAUGACUCAUUUAUUUAUUUAUUCAUGCUCCUCCCCCCUUUAAAAAAGGUAGGAAAGCUCUUUUAUCGCAUUUCUUUGUGGAAAAAUAUUUCCAGGGACGCAAAAUUCCAAAGAGGAGUUCAAAUUCUGGAAAUAAGCAUGUCUUUUUUUGUUUGAGCUUUAUGCCCCCUGGUUUGACAUUUUCCUUUCUUCUUUCUCUGUUGUGGUGUGGUUCUUGACCUGUCUGAGAUGAAGAUGCAUGUAAGGUCUGUUGCAUGUUUUGGAAGGCAAAGUCUUGGGGCUUUGGACACUGAUGCUAAGUGGGCACCGGUGGCCCCGCUGUGUGUGCUGAGCCUGAGUACCUUGGCUGGACUCUGGGUCGGGGCUCCAGGAGCAUGAGAAAUGAUCCCCAGAAGGACCAGUUGAACUCCAUCUGAGACUGCAUCGCCUAUGAAAUGUAAAAUGUGAACGCCCCGUGCUGCUUGCAGAUGGUUCCCAUAGCUGGCCGGGGCCCUGGAGCAUGCACCCAGGGGCACAGCCUGCCCUUACUCACGCUCUGCUCCAGUGUCUUGGGAGUUGUGCGGAGACUCUGGCCCAGGAAAGGAAAGAAGGACCAGGCAGGGGAUUGUAAUGCAGUUCUCUUUGUAAUGUUUCAGUGAUCGUGUGACCGACGCGGCACCUAGCAGAGGGCCCGGCAUGGAGAGGGUGCUCAAUAUUUAUGAAUAGUAACAAAUGAGUAACAAUAAGAGUACUUGGGUGAACCUGGACCCCCAAGUUUUGGAGCUUUCUGGGUCGUAACGUGUCUCUUCCAUAAAUCUCUUGCCUUCACGGGAGAAAUAUAUAUUUGAUCAGACGUCGUCAUCGGUGCAGAAUAGAUGAGUAGCCUUGGCAAUGUCACAGGCUUAUAGGCCGUUCCUUUCACAUUCCAGACCAUGGAGAGUGUUUACGGUUUUAAGAAAGGAGCUUUGUGGCCGAAGAGUUAGAUAUCGGUUACCUUGAAACGAAUCCAUCACCUGUUAGGUUGGUAUUGGUUUUAAAAAAGGUUAAUUAUCAGCACAUUUAUUGAGUGCUAACUGUGUGUAAAGCCCUGUGUUAGGCACCUUAGGGGAUGUCAGGGAGGAUCAGCUCUGUUCUUCUAACCGACCUGGACUGGGAUGCCCCUGGGUCUGCUGAACUUGGCCAUUGGUUUCAGGAAGGAGCAGGGGCUACUGAAUUGCCAUUUGUUCCACCGUCAGCAUCUCAUAAACCUCUUCCUGGGUCUUUCUCCCUUUAACCCAUCACUUAUCCCUUCCCAGGAUUCCUUGCAAAUCGAUUCACAGGGGUUUUGCCAGAAAGCAUCAGCUCUGUUUCAUGACAGUCUCCGUGGAAAUCUCCUAGGAAGAUCACAAACAUUGGCUACAAGGACAUGAACUCCCACAUCUAAUAUGGCUUCGGGAGCAGGCAGUUUAGGGAUUGGGGUGUUCUGGUGACUCGUACAGGUGAAUUUGAGGACAGCAUCUUGCUAGGGAAAAGGUUAGCGUUCUUUUUCUUUCUCGGAAAUCUAGGAUAAGUAGGUAUAAUUAUAGCUUCCUACAAAAUCCCUUGGCCUCAACAGGGACCAAGGGCGCCUCUGUCCAGCCUCCUCUCUGGCAAACUCCUUUCUCCUCCUUCAUAAAAGGCCACACCUCAGGGCAGAGGAACAUGGGAAGAGUGGAACUGGCCAGGACCGCCUGAUGGAGCUACUUGGUUGUUUCAUAUCCUUUUUCCUCUAUGGAGACCCGUCUCCUGAUCUCUGAGACUGCUUCUGAUCUGGCAGCUUACUCAGGGACCUGGAACAGGAGAAGUGGUGACACUUUUUAUUUCCCUGAGAUGCUCUGACUUUGCUUUCCCCUGGCCCUCCCUCCCCUGCAUUCUCCAAACCUGGAACCUGGGAAACUUCUGUAUCUAGGUUCUGAAUUGUGAUGUUACCAGCACCCCUAGCCCUGUCCUCUCUGGCCCCCCUCAGCCCCCUGGUCAUGGAAUUCAGUGUUAGGAACCAAGCCGAGGCCCAAGGGUGUAAAGAGAAACUCGACAGCCUCAGCCCUGGAAGGCAGACUCAACUUAAGAUUUCACCAGGAUGGUUCAAGCCUCGGCUUCUAGCGAGGUGGCCACAACGGCAGUUAAGGGAGAGGGCUGUGGAGCCCAGACUCUGGAAGGAGCCCGCAGAAUUGAUCUGUUAUACAUCCUGCAUUUCAUUCUGUGAUGGAGGAGAUUGGAGGGAGUUCCUAUUCCAGCCAGAGAGGUCGAGUCAUUGGACUCCGAUGGUUCUUUUUGUUCCUUUAUUGUACUUGGGUUCAGAGUCCCCGUCUGGGUUUGUAUUAUGUCUGGCAAAGGACCCGGGUUCUCAUUUUUCUUCUGGGCCUAGGCUGUAGAUCUUGGAAACUCCUAGGAGAGCAUUUUGCUCCUACCAAGGAUCAGAUACCAGAGCCUUAAAUAAUGGAUUUUGUUUCGCUGCGGCCUGGCUUGAGCUGUCUGCUGCUGCCUCUUGCCACGCACAUGUGCAGUAAUGGCCCGCUGGAUGUUACCUGGAGGGAAGUGAACCCCGGAUCUCCCCAAUAGGCCUCUUCUCCUUGGUACACCCAGUUGCCUGUUCCCGGUUUGCCUUGUUUCCCUUCUUCUUUGCGUCAGCAAAUUCCCAGUAUUCACCCAGGCGACUUGUAGAGGGCCUGCUUGGGGUCCUGUGAGCCGUGUCCUCCAAGCUUUUGUAGCUCCCUGAUCGCCUACAAUAUUCAGUACAUGACCACUGUCAUCCCAGAAGGCUUCCGGGGAGGGGGUGAGAGCCCCUGCCCCCUGGAGGCUGGGCCCAUCUGCCCUCCCAGGUGUGCACCUUCCCCCAUCCUGCUGAGGGCUCGGGCUGGUAUGGCUGAGGGUUUGGGGAGGGGAGGCUGCUUUCCAGGUGUCUCCCCGUGGGGCAUCUAGGUGGUCCUGAAUUUUUUCCUACCUCACAGGGAUGUUGUGAGACUUUAGAAGGAAGGAGGACAAAGGCCCCUUGAGCUCUUUGUAGGAAAGGCAGAAUAAAUAUCAGGUGUGAUCUAUGCAGAGAUGAAAUUCGGCCUGCUGGUGAGGCAGACACGCUCGUGCUCUGUGGCUGUUCUCGGGCCCCCGUGCCACCCGAGCUCCGGCCACCUCGAGGCCUACCUGAGGGACUUUCAGAUGUUCGACACAGAGGUACCAGGCAGACCCUCCUACAUGCCCUGAACGAGCCGAUGAACGUCAGAGGAAAUGGACCCUGCUUUUGAGGAUGUACAAAUGUAAGCAGCGCAGGCACUACUUUGCUUUCGAGAUGAGAACUGAAACUUUUGCCCGGAGUACCUCGGUGGUGUUGGGCAGCGGCUGAUCUUUAGAGACAGAGGUGAUCGGGAUCUGAGAAGAGCUUUUCACCCCUCAUCUUGACCUCCACCCCAUCCGGCAGAAGGCCGUCCGGGACAGAUGGAUAUCUGGCUUCUUGCACCAGCCCCAGGAAGAGAUUCCUUCAUCCAUCACCCAGGCUGACAUUCUUCCGUAGGUCCAACCCCUUAGUGUGAUAUCCAAGGCCUCCAGAAUUGGACCCCUUCCCCUCUCCUCCAGUCUCACUUCCUGCCUCUUCUUCAGACACAAUGUAUAUUCUAGCUAAUUCCAACUCCCUGUGUAUCUCACACUGUCUGAGUCUUUUCUGCCUUUGCAUAUGCGGGUCCCCUCAGCCAGGAGAUUCUGUCCCUCCAUGGCUCUGGGCUCACUCCUCAAGACCCUGUGUAAGUGUUUUCUCUCCUGGGAGCCUCGAAUGAUCCAACCUGGCAGACACGGUGCACCUGGUAUGUCACCUCUCAAACACCUAUAGUUGCCUGUGUUAUCUUACAUUUUUUGUCUGUAUGUGUGUCUCCCCUAGACCUCUGUGAUCUUCUGGACAAGAGCUGUCCUGGUGCCCAAGUCCCUGGCUUGUCCAGGCACUCUGCAAACGUUCACUGAUGUCCUCACAUCAGCCGUCUGUGGGGUUAGACUGUCCCACUGGGCUGCAGUGUUUUGAUAGGAGCAAAUUGGGGGGCUGGGGCGUGCAGCUAGUUCAAGGGUAGAGUUGGCAAUCAGCGGAGUAGGUCUUUGAAAAUGUACAGAAUCAUUUAUUAUCCCAAAUGACCUCAACCUUCACCCCCUGAGAAAUACGAUGGUUUCACAAAAAUGAUCUCUAAGUUUCUGUCUGGGCCCAACAUUGUAGGUUUCUAUAACUGGGGGAUCUGUGAUCUAAAAUGCCUGGGUUUUUUAAAAAUCUGGGGUCAAUGAAGGAAGUCUAUAAUUGCAUGCAAACUGUUUUAUGUACACAUGUGUCUUUUGGGAGGGAAAUGGUCCAAACUUUCAUAGAUGGGUCUAUGAUCACAAAAGAUUAAACGUCACUGAUUAAGAAUUGUUCACCAAAAGGAUGUUCAUAAUCUCUAUUGGCUCAAUAGGAGCUGACACCUUCUUUCGUGCUUCAGGGGAGAGGCUUAUAAACCAGCAGUCCUGUUGUUUUUUGUUCACUGUCCUUCAUGAGGGCACCUACAGGUCUGGUCUGCAAUUUAAAAAGAGAGGCUAAGGGGCUUUUGGCUGUGUUUCAUUUUGUGUUGUAUUAAUUUCCCCCCUCCUUAGGUUCUAAAGGUAGGUGAGGGUGUAAUUCUUCCUGCUCUGGGAAAACUAUCACACAGCGCCCACAAAUUCUGCCCACAUGGUCCACUCUGAACCCUCUGGGUAACGUCAGGUAACCUGCACAUGACGCGUGAUUAUAAAACAUUCUGCCACUGUGGUCUGGGCCUGCAAAUUGCUAUGAUGCUUUUGCUCCUGGAUGGGAGAUGCCAUCUGUAAAGUGAAUUGUGGCUGGCGGGGCAGGCUUCAUGGGUGUGUGACCUGGGCAAUCUUUCAGGGCCCCAUGCUUUGUUUAAUGCUCUACUGUUGCUGUCUUGAAGUUCUUAAUAAUUUUUGAACAAAAACCUCUGUAUUUUUACUUUUCACCUGGUCCUGCAAAUUAUGUUGCUGGUCCUGAGUGGCUGCACCUACUUGAAGGAGCAGCAUGCAGUGGAAAGGGCAUGAGCUUUGGAGUUGGCAGUUGGGGUUCAAAUCCCAGUUCUGUAAUUUCCCAGCUGUGUGAGUAUGAGUCGGUUACUUAACCUCUCUGAGCUUCAGUAUUCUUAUAUCUAAA